RNAcentral lists this ribosomal RNA (291 nucleotides) under Clostridioides difficile. Its description in RNAcentral is "partial 23S ribosomal RNA". It matches the Rfam family "Bacterial large subunit ribosomal RNA", at positions 1377 to 1665 of the family's 2925-position model. Lineage: Bacteria; Bacillati; Bacillota; Clostridia; Peptostreptococcales; Peptostreptococcaceae. The record is from RNAcentral.
GGGUUAGUCGGGACCUAAGCUGAGGCCGAAAGGCGUAGGUGAUGGACAACAGGUUGAUAUUCCUGUACUACCGAUAACCGUUUGAGAGAAGGGAUGACACAGUAGGAUAAGCUAAGCACACUGUUGGGUAUGUGUGCCCAAGCAUUGAGGCAGUCAAAGUAGGCAAAUCCGCUUUGAUAAUGCUGGGAUGUGAUGGGGAGCGAAAUUUAGUAGCGAAGUAGCUGAUUUCACACUGUCAAGAAAAGUCUCUAUCGAGGUUAAAGGUACCCGUACCGCAAACCGACACAGGUG